This 1403-nucleotide ribosomal RNA is filed under the name Salmonella enterica subsp. enterica serovar Typhimurium. RNAcentral's name for it is "partial 23S ribosomal RNA". It matches the Rfam family "Bacterial large subunit ribosomal RNA", at positions 574 to 1874 of the family's 2925-position model. The record is from RNAcentral. Lineage: Bacteria; Pseudomonadati; Pseudomonadota; Gammaproteobacteria; Enterobacterales; Enterobacteriaceae.
UGGGAGCACAGGUUUACCUGUGUGACUGCGUACCUUUUGUAUAAUGGGUCAGCGACUUAUAUUCUGUAGCAAGGUUAACCGUAUAGGGGAGCCGUAGGGAAACCGAGUCUUAACCGGGCGUUAAGUUGCAGGGUAUAGACCCGAAACCCGGUGAUCUAGCCAUGGGCAGGUUGAAGGUUGGGUAACACUAACUGGAGGACCGAACCGACUAAUGUUGAAAAAUUAGCGGAUGACCUGUGGCUGGGGGUGAAAGGCCAAUCAAACCGGGAGAUAGCUGGUUCUCCCCGAAAGCUAUUUAGGUAGCGCCUCGUGAAUUCAUCUCCGGGGGUAGAGCACUGUUUCGGCUAGGGGGCCAUCCCGGCUUACCAACCCGAUGCAAACUGCGAAUACCGGAGAAUGUUAUCACGGGAGACACACGGCGGGUGCUAACGUCCGUCGUGAAGAGGGAAACAACCCAGACCGCCAGCUAAGGUCCCAAAGUCAUGGUUAAGUGGGAAACGAUGUGGGAAGGCCCAGACAGCCAGGAUGUUGGCUUAGAAGCAGCCAUCAUUUAAAGAAAGCGUAAUAGCUCACUGGUCGAGUCGGCCUGCGCGGAAGAUGUAACGGGGCUAAACCAUGCACCGAAGCUGCGGCAGCGAACGUAUCACCCAAGACAACUUUACGGAGUUGACGAUUGACGGAGCGAAGCGACGUCAAAGCGUUCAUUAAAGUCGAGUUGGCUUAGGGAUACGUUCGUUGGGUAGGGGAGCGUUCUGUAAGCCUGUGAAGGUGUGUCGUGAGGCAUGCUGGAGGUAUCAGAAGUGCGAAUGCUGACAUAAGUAACGAUAAAGCGGGUGAAAAGCCCGCUCGCCGGAAGACCAAGGGUUCCUGUCCAACGUUAAUCGGGGCAGGGUGAGUCGACCCCUAAGGCGAGGCCGAAAGGCGUAGUCGAUGGGAAACGGGUUAAUAUUCCCGUACUUGGUGUUACUGCGAAGGGGGGACGGAGAAGGCUAUGUUGGCCGGGCGACGGUUGUCCCGGUUUAAGCGUGUAGGUGUGUGUUCCAGGUAAAUCCGGUUCACUUUAACACUGAGGCGUGACGACGAGGCACUACGGUGCUGAAGCAACAAAUGCCCUGCUUCCAGGAAAAGCCUCUAAGCAUCAGGUAACACGAAAUCGUACCCCAAACCGACACAGGUGGUCAGGUAGAGAAUACCAAGGCGCUUGAGAGAACUCGGGUGAAGGAACUAGGCAAAAUGGUGCCGUAACUUCGGGAGAAGGCACGCUGACACGUAGGUGAAGUGAUUUACUCAUGGAGCUGAAGUCAGUCGAAGAUACCAGCUGGCUGCAACUGUUUAUUAAAAACACAGCACUGUGCAAACACGAAAGUGGACGUAUACGGUGUGACGCCUGCCCGGUGCCGGAA